CUUUGAUCGUCCUUGGGUUUCACUUUGAGGUCUCAUCUUCGCUAGUUCUUGGUUUUUACUAGUUUGACUGUUGACUGUCUUUCCACAAACUUAUCCUUUUCUUUGUCAGAUAAAUCCCUGGAGGCUGACGGCGUCUAUACGUACGCUCAACAUGCUCGCACUUAUAAAGAGAGAAGGAAAACAUGUCAGAGGUUUUAUCGUUGGACAAAUUUGACCCACAGUAUUCUCACUCACUCUGUCAGAGUUCCAGGCUGAAAUCUUUCAUUGUGUAACUUUAGACCCACAAUAGAAAAAUAGAGAGCGAAGAUAAAAGAAAUAUAGUCAGAAACGAGUUGAAAUGUGGAGAAUGUAUCCCGUCAUUGUUUCCCACCUUUGUGUCUCGGCUUGCUUUAAGAAAAGGCUUUAAAAAAAGAAAACCCUCCCUAGGAGCAACACGGCGUCGAAUCCAGCGAAUCCAGCGAGUGUGUCUGGAGAAGUGCCCUUUAAAAGAUUACUUUGAUGGCAUUUCUUCAUCAUUAGUCUGCUGGAAGUGAAAAGACAGAAAAGCUGUGUGAGAGGGGGUGUGUAACAAAGCGACAACGGUUCCAGGAAAAGCUACCUCUACUUUGUAAACACCUCCUCCAGCUGAGCCUCUGUGAUUCAUUCUCCUCUUUGACUCUAUUUUGGGGUUAUAAUCUUCCUCUUUGUGGGGAACAGCAGCUUGUUUUAUCCUCUUUUCAAAGAAAUAAGUUUGGAUUUUUAGAGGUGACUUGUGAAGACUUCUUUUUUCUGCCUUUUGAAUUCAUUUUGCGUUUCUUGUGGCGGGUCUCAGGCACGGCGACCUUUGAUAUUUACAGGCUGUAGCCUGUUUGGUCUGAUUUCAUUGAUCCGCAUUGAUUGGUUCCUCAUGGGACGUCUCUCUGAGCGUGUUUACUUUGAUCAAUGGGCCUAAUGGAUAAAUACAAAUAUCUGCUAUCUCUCUCCUGCUCCAGCUGGUCCAUACUAAUCUCCUUGUGUCGUCUGGAGGUGUUAAGAUAUUGCUAAGACACUAAUCGCUCAGACCUGGAGGGUAAUUCUCUUUUCUUUCCGUCUAUAUCCUCUUCACUUUUCUGUCUCCCUUCCUCUCUUAAAGAUGGGCUGCAUUAAGAAGAUAAUACUCAAAGAUGUCGUAGUCUGCGUGGUGAGGGAUUGAUUCAGUCUGGGAGAUGUUCUGCACGGACACUUUGAGUGGGAAAAUCCCAGUUUAAGUCCACCAUAAGCUGCAUAGGAACUUGUUGUUGUUUGCAAACAGCCCUGUGGUGGCACUGUUUUCCCACCAUAGAUCUCUUUAUGUCUUCUCAGAUCAGACAUAAGGGAUGCAAAGAGAGAGCAGUAUGUCUAUAUUUGUGGAUUCACACUGAGAGGGGAGGGUCUGGAGUGCUUCAACACAAUAGGACACAAAUAUUUUAAUCUCAGCCUGUUUGUGUCAUUAACAUUUCACCAAAACCUUUCAAACACUCGAGCACGUGUGUUCGUGGAUGAGCCCAAUCUGUCAAAGACAUGCUGGCGUUUCGCUGUGACUGCUGCCACUGAGGGGGUUCCUCUCAAACUCAAACAACUUGAAUGAAAUAUAAAAAAUUCACUCUGGCACAACAGCUCAAAGCACUUCUAAAAUUAACGCGGCUCAUCGGGGGACUUGAUUAAAGAGCACAAACAACAGACUGUAACACGGAGUUUGUCAGGUUUAUGAUGGUCCUGGACUAGAAUGAUAAAAUAGGGAUUCACCACCGGAACAUUUUGAGAUCAUGUAUUGUGCAUUUAAUAAAACUACAAACACACCGAGAGUCGAGUGAGAGAAAAUAACCGACCAUAUGUUUAUUUUGGCUGGUAACUCCAGCUGAAUUUUGUUAUUUCAUUAGAGAAACCAGCGAGGACGCAAGUUCUGAGUUUGUAAAGAUCAUUUCUCCACAAAACCUGAACAAUUUUUACAAACUCUGACCCAAACAUGAACGUCAGUGCGCUGCUAGUAUGAUGCAUGUUUAAGAACAGUGCAAAAACACUGAUAGGCUAACAUUGUCUUCAUUACGUAGAUGGCCUGAUUGCAGGGGUAUCGUAUUGUUUCGUAUCAUUUCGUAUCGUUUUGUUAUUGUUUUGUAUCAUAUUGUUUUGUUAUUGUAUCGUAUCGUUUCGCCUUGAUUCAUUUCGUAUCGUUUCGUAUCAUUUUGUUAUUGUAUCUUUUCGUUUUCUUUCGCAUUGAUUCAUUUCAUAUUGUUUCAUUUUGUAUCGUAUCAUAUUUUUUGGUUAUUGUAUCUUUACAUUUUGUUUCACAUCGCAUCACUUCGCAUAAUAUAGUUUUGUUAUUGUAUUGUAUCAUAUCUGUAUCGAUUCAUAUAGCAUCUCAUCUGAGUCAUAUAUUUGGUGUCAUAUCAUUUUGUUAUUGUAUCGUAUCUGUAUCAUGUCAUUUUGUAAUUGUUUUGUAUCGUUAUUCUUAUGUGAUCGUAUCGUUUCAUUUCGUAUCGUUUCGAAUCGUUUCCUGUCAUUUCACAGCGUAUUGUUUUGUUAUGGUAUGGUAGCUGUACCGUAUCGUUUUGUUAUUGUUUUGUAUCGUUUCAAAAUGUUAUUUAAUUGUUUUGUUUCGUAUCAUUUCAUAUCGUUUUGUGUCGUUUCACAUCCUAUCGUUUCGGUAUUCUAUGGUAUCUGUACCAUAUCGUUUCGUAUCGUUUUGUUAUUGUUUUGUAUCGUUUCAUUAUGUUAUUUUAUUGUUUUGCUUCGUAGUGUUUCGUAUCGUUUCGUAUCGUAUCGUAUCGUAUUGUAUCGUUUCGUAUCAGGCCGAGCUUACCAGGAUUCUCUCUGGGUAAAGUUUCUUGCGUUGAUCAUUAAACCUUUCUUACAUCUUUUAGUAUGAUUGCAUGAAAAGCAGGUUUAGGCUUGAGUCCAUGCCGCCAAAGCAAACACACAAUACCCAUAUAAAAGAGAAGCUCCUCUCUGAAUGGCAAACAUGUACGUUUCAUUUAUUUUUACACACCAGAAAGGCAGAGAGGGAAAGCAUGCCGUACUCAACCCUGUCCAACAGACACAAAAGCUGUCAUGAUCGCCCCAUACAGCAUAAGGUGAUUUUACAUACACCACUGACGUCUCCACUGCUGCACUGGUGAGAUAAAGUCUCUGUUUAAAUUGCCUCCAAUUCUAAAUUAGCUCCAAAUCUAAUAACAACUUCCAUGAUUUCUUUUCUCCACAUGAGGAAAGUCAUUAUCCGGUAUCAGCACAGUAUGUCAGCAAUAUUGCCAGCAGUUACACUGCAGCAGUUUGGAGAGAGGUCGGGGACAUUUGACAGCGUCUGGGCUUGUCAGCUAUCACUCUACACUUUUAAAGAUUAAAAAGACCCACAGGGGCAUUUUUAGACCUUGUUCUCGCCCCCCCGAAACAUGGCAGAGCGCGACAAACAACAAACAGCAGCAGCUCCAGCAUGUGUGCGACCUCAUUUUAUCAUAAUCCGCCCUUCACUGAGCCAGCUCCCAAAAGGUGCGGCGUGUUUGCGAACAUGGAAAUUGAAAAGCUGCCUAAUUGAAGGUGCGGCGCAGAAAGUGCUCAUCUCAACAAGUCACUCUCUCUUGUUUUGAAACAUGUCUCUCUGUUUAACACAAGUGGCCGGUGUCACUCGUUUCCAAGGCAAUUUAACUUGUGUAAAGAGUUCUCAUGGAUCGAUUGGGAACUUGAAACAAGUGGAGCGGCUUGUUUCUGGCUUUGAUUUCCCUUGUUUCAAAAUCCUGAUGCUUUAUUUGAGAGCCUUUCCAACAAGUAUUUAAAGUUUCAGACUUAUUGAAUGCUUUUUAGGCUUUUCUGAAGGACGCAAAGCUGUGCUGACACCGACACCUGACCAAAAUACACAGAUAAACACGACUCAGCAGAAGCUAAGGAAAUAUGGCGAUUUUGUGUAUUUUACCAUUAAAAAUAGUGACAUGGUGCACAAAAACUGGCAUAAAAAGGCUGUAACAUUGAAUUUUGUGUUUAUUAUUUUUUGAAUGGUCAGGGCUGAAGUUGUCGAAGAGAUUUGAGUCAAAAAAAGAUUAUUUUAUGAACACUUAUCUGUCCUCUUUGAGGACAAAGUAGGCUGAAUGGAGCUUAAAAUUUACAGGAACCGCGAGUUAAAUAAAACCUCCUUAACCCUGCUCAUAAAUACUUUUAAAAAUCUCGCUCCCGUUAAGAUCAGCAUUGUUUCUGCCUCUCCGUUUUUUCCUGGAGAGUAUCUUAAAAGAGACCAAUAAUGAAGCUGCCUCUGACAGUGUCACCACAGCCUUGACUCCUCAAUUGCCGAUUCAUCUUCCCACUUUUGACAACCUCAACUCAGGUAAUUUCACAGGACUGUUGCCACAAAUCAGCACAAAUGGCCUUGAGUGGGUGGGGAGUGGUGGUGGGGGGAUGCAUAUUCACAGCCAGUGUGAAAGUACAGUCUUUAGCCAUGACCCAUUCUUCUCGGCCAAUGGGAAAGAGAAGUGUGCCAGCAUGAUUAAUGGUCAUGAUUACCUUCUCAGAAAAUGUGGUUUUCUGGCCCAGCAGCUUCACUUUUAUGACUUAAACCCGGGGCGAGAUGCUUCAUCAUGUGGCGGGCGGAGCUGUGCGCAGACCUCCCAGACAGCGUGUUGUGAUGGCCAAACAUAUCACUGCUGAAGUGUUUACCAUCAGCUGUUUGAAUACGACUGUGAAGCCUCUCAACGGUCGUAAUGUGGACAGCUGUUCGACUUAAGACCUGAGAAUGAGGAUAGAUGUGGACGAGGGGCCAGGAGGGCACCCAAAAGAAAAAAGGAAAGGAACAAAGAGUCUGUAGAGAUAUUAGAUAAAAGUCUGGGGAAGAAGAGCCUAAAUGAGCUUUUUUGGGGGGGCUUAGACUCACCCCGUAUUCCCAGUUUCAAAAAGACAAAAAAAAAAGAGAGAAAACAAAGAGGAGAGUCGGAAGAAGACAAAGGAAGCAAAAACAUCCCAAGAAAUCCGUUUUGGCAAGGACUCACCCCUGCUGCUGCAGGUACCAGAUGUGUGAAGACGUCACACUACGACAAGUCCAUACAGACAAACAAACCACAUUGCACUUCAUUCAAUAAGUCAAAUGUGCUCAGUUUAAAGCCCCUCACAGUUUAUUUCCGUUUGAUCAUUCAAUUGACCUCGAACCUUUGUCUCCAUUUAAUACAGAGAAUUACAACUUACUGUUCUGCAGGGCUGCCAAGUUUCAGAAAAUACGAUACGUGAGAGUUCUGAUGUGUUCAGGAAAAAAAAAAGGCCUUUUUUAAUGUCGAUUUGUACCUUCAGACUGAUGUCCUCACCUCCAUGCCAGCUGCUCUCCCUAAUGCUCGUCUUAAUGAACCAGAAUUUAGAAAUUAGAAAGUGGGUUUUAAAUGUCGGCGCUGUUUUGUCUGAAAGAUAGUUAGAGAUGCCAAGACCCACCGUAGGUUGCUUCUGAUUGGUUUGUAUUGGGUGGUGCCUUCAGUAGUUGGUUAGAUUUAACCACAAAGGACUGAUGGAUUUGUUAUCUUGGUCAGUCAAUCUGAGUUACUCAAACUACGGCAAGGUUUCCCCUUCUCUUUAAGUAAUAAUCAUCAUAUUAAUCAUUUUGCACUGCAGACGCGGUAGUUCUUCUGUCUUAGCGUCUCGGUCUGAUUGUAUUUCCAUGAAGAAAUGAUCAUAAAUGUUCUUCCUUAAGCUGCGUCACCCCGCUGUAGUCCGUAAUGGACUGGCCUGAGGUCUCGCUACAAACAAACGGCUGCUGGAAGAGAGUAGGUGAGUUGUGUUUAGUCCCUUUGCUAAAGAAAUGAGUCAAAGUUAAAAAGAUGUUUGGUGUCUAGUACUAUGUCUGUGACCCUAUAUGUCCUGUUGAUGAAGUUAGGUGCUGUUCUGAGCAUUAUUUGUGGCUAUAGAGUGGUGUUUUGGUUGAGUGUGUGUCUCUCUGUAUUGCUUUCUGCGGUUGUUACUAAAGUUGGUAUAACUAGAGGAGCAAAGCGGUUAACAUUCAUCUCUCGAGGGGGUGUCUAAAUCGGUUUUACGGUGUGUUUGACCCUAGCUUAAUUUUACGCCAGAAUAUCCCUUUAAGUGUACACUAAGCCUACUCCAAUUUCCCCAUUCCCUGCUAGCUAGUAGCUGCCCGCCUGCUGAAGCUUUGUUGCACCAGAAUAAAAAAAACGCUCAGUUUUUACCAAGAGCAUUUGAGGUUUUUCUUUUUUUCAUUUUCUACUUUGUUUUUUUUUUUCCUGUAAAUAUUUUCAGAAAAUCAAUUUGAAGAUAGGAGUGGGGGGAUCUACGCCGGUCUGAGGAGGGAGCUCGUAACUCUCCAAGCCCCUCCCUCCUGUUGCCGUUGAUUACAGAUUGUACAGAAGCGUUCAGCCGGAGAGCGAAAAAAAGGCUCUGAGGUGAAAAUGUUUUCGAAUCUCCUCCGACACCUGAUGUGAAUCUAAAGCGGCUGGUCGGUCGGUAUCACUGAGAAGCGGCUGACCAAAUGAACCUGGAAAACCUCGAGGGUUUAAUUGACGAAACCUCAAGAUUAAUACCGUGCAUUUGCAGGAGCAAACACCCCCGCUGUGUCUGUAUGUUUUUUCCUGUUCGUGCGUGAAGGGAUAAGAGCCUGUGCAUCUGUGGGGGAUUGUGUGUGUGUCUCUUUAUUCUCACUUUUGCAGCACUCAUGUGCCAAGAAGCUCCCAGACGACAUUCUCUAAUCAUUAACCUGAA
Molecule: long non-coding RNA, 6669 nt
Filed under: Xyrichtys novacula (pearly razorfish)
Lineage: Eukaryota; Metazoa; Chordata; Actinopteri; Labriformes; Labridae
Source: RNAcentral